This 429-nucleotide ribosomal RNA is filed under the name Chloroflexota bacterium. RNAcentral describes it as "Chloroflexi bacterium partial 16S ribosomal RNA". It matches the Rfam family "Bacterial small subunit ribosomal RNA", at positions 355 to 776 of the family's 1533-position model. The record is from RNAcentral. RNAcentral also lists the same sequence under 1 other name. Lineage: Bacteria; Bacillati; Chloroflexota.
UAGGGAAUCUUCGGCAAUGGACGAAAGUCUGACCGAGCAACGCCGCGUGAGUGAAGAAGGUUUUCGGAUCGUAAAACUCUGUUGUUAGAGAAGAACAAGGACGUUAGUAACUGAACGUCCCCUGACGGUAUCUAACCAGAAAGCCACGGCUAACUACGUGCCAGCAGCCGCGGUAAUACGUAGGUGGCAAGCGUUGUCCGGAUUUAUUGGGCGUAAAGCGAGCGCAGGCGGUUUCUUAAGUCUGAUGUGAAAGCCCCCGGCUCAACCGGGGAGGGUUAUUGGAAACUGGGAGACUUGAGUGCAGAAGAGGAGAGUGGAAUUCCAUGUGUAGCGGUGAAAUGCGUAGAUAUAUGGAGGAACACCAGUGGCGAAGGCGGCUCUCUGGUCUGUAACUGACGCUGAGGCUCGAAAGCGUGGGGAGCAAACAGG